RNAcentral lists this ribosomal RNA (253 nucleotides) under uncultured bacterium. Its description in RNAcentral is "partial 16S ribosomal RNA". It matches the Rfam family "Bacterial small subunit ribosomal RNA", at positions 524 to 776 of the family's 1533-position model. The record is from RNAcentral.
UACGUGUGGUGCAAGCGUUAUCCGGAAUGACUGGGUGUAAAGGGAGCGUAGACGGUUGUUCAAGUCUGAUGUGAAAGCCCUCGGCUUAACUGGGGGAGUGCAUUGGAAACUGAAGGACUAGAGUACCGGAGAGGCAAGUGGAAUUCCUAGUGUAGCGGUGAAAUGCGUAGAUAUUAGGAGGAACACCAGUGGCGAAGGCGGCUUGCUGGACGAAAACUGACGUUGAGGCUCGAAAGCGUGGGGAGCGAACAGG